Molecule: long non-coding RNA, 1571 nt
Organism: Oryctolagus cuniculus (rabbit)
Lineage: Eukaryota; Metazoa; Chordata; Mammalia; Lagomorpha; Leporidae
Source: Ensembl
AUGUCCCUCUGUCCUUCCACAGGCUACCACCAGCUUCCUCCAGCUGCUGGGGGACAGGAGGCCGAUGUCAGAAAAAUACACAAGGAAUCUGCUACCCACUGUGUUAGACCAGUGGACUGCACCAGCAGGAGACCUACGGGCAGAAGCUGGGCAGUUGGAGCACUUCCAGGAGCAGGGAUCAGGUACAAAAGUAGCAAGUUGACCCCAAAUGGGCAUCAGGUUGAGAAAGCAGUUUCCGCUCAGGUUGGAGAUGCCCCAUGCGCACCUCGGAAGAACGAGCUGGUGAGUAGCACCGCUGGGGAGAUGCGUCCACACACGCUAUCCCGUGGACGGGCUCUCAGGGAGCAAUCACACCGCUGUCACAGAAGGAACCCACGUACGCUGCUGUUACGUCAACAGCCAGACAGAGGGAGACCCAAAGCCCAGCACAGCACCGAUGGGUCCAGAAGAGACAAGUGCAUACAGAAUCAGUACAGGUCUGGAGUUGGGGUCACAGACCGGGCUCAUGCAGAACAAGCCCAAGUGCUUGGUUCACAUCUCUCGUCUGGGUCCUUGUGAGUGAACUGAGACUGCUGGAUUGAGGGCUUUUAAUCUGUGACACCUGAGACCUGCUAAAACUAUGCAAACUUUGGGAUAUAUUUGCAUGUAUUAUUUUUGUUUUUGACAGGCAGAGUUAGACAGUGAGAGAGAGAGACAGAGAGAAAGGUCUUCCUUUUUCCGUUGGUUCAUCCCCCAAGUGGCCACUACAGCCAGUGUGCCAUGGCCAGUGCUGCACUGAUCUGAAACCAGGAGCCAGGUGCUUCCUCCUGGUCUCCCAUGGGGUGCAGGGCCCGAGGACCUGGGCCAUCCUCCACUGCCUUCCUGGGCCACAGCAGAGAGCUGGACUGGAAGAGGAGCAACUGGGAUAGAAUCCGGCACCCCAACUGGGACUAGAACCUGGGGUGCUGGCACCGUAGGCGGAGGAUUAGCCUAGUGAGCCGCGGCACUGGCCUUGCAUGUAUUAUUUUUAACAUAUAUUUGUUUUAUUUGAAUGGCAGACAGUCAGACAGGAAUCUCUGACCCACUGAGUGGUUUAUUCCCCAACUGCAUGCUACAUCCAGGGCUGGAGAGAGCCGAACCACAAGCCAGGAACUCAAUCUGUGCCUCCCAUGUGGGUUGCAGAGACCCAACUACUUGAGUUGUCACUUGCUGCUCCCAGGGUACGCAAGAGCAGGAAGCUAGAGUCAAGAGCAGAGCUGGGGCCUGAAUCCGGGAAUUCUGAUACGGAAUGUGGGCGUCCGAGCAGUGGUUUAGCUGAUGCACCAACAGCCAGCCCUUUGAUUUCUUUUUCCUAUGGAAAGGAGUCACAGUUUUCGUGAGAAACAAAGUUGAGAACAUGAGACUACAUGAUGUCCUAUGAUUGCUUUAGCUCUAACAUUUGAUGGCCCUAUUGCAACUUCUUGUCAAUAUAAUGGUGUGAUGAGAAGAAUGUAUAAUAUAGUCUCAUAAAACAAUGAAAGUUUUUUAGUGUGAGUAUUACUAUAUAGUUGGUCUUCAAUAAAAAUAUAUGAAUCUGAGCUGUAUCUUCUUCC